UUGUUCUGAAAUGAAUGUAAUCUUAACCAAACAUUUUGUGUGUGUUGUCUCUGCUGCAGGAGGUUCCGGACCACUUGCAGGAAUCAUUAGUGCUGUAGGUGUCGCUCUGGUGGGAGCUGCGUCCAGUUACUUUGCUUAUCAGAAGAAGAAGCUCUGCUUCAAGCUGCAGGGAGGUGCAGAUCCAGAGAAAGGUCAGCGAGGAGGUCAGUCUAACCCAGGAGACAGCCAGCUUUUUAGCAACCUGCUCCGGAACAACUAGAUCCUGACCCAGAAUUUGAUCCAACUUUUCAGCCAAGAGCCUUAAGACGUCUUUGGUACAGAAAAGAGCCACAAGUUCCACCAACACAUGCAGAACAAAAUGACAGCCAGCUUAUAGCUUAUCUUAGUCUGAGCUUCAGCAACAGUCAGAAUGUCAUUUUUUGUAAUGAUUUCAGGGUUUUAUGUUGAUGUGUUUUGACUUCAUGUAACUCUUGUAAACUUAAUUUUUGUCUUUUUCGUGUUUGCUAAACUGUUGGUUUCAUGUAAUGAGUCACAGCAGGAAAUCUGUUUCCUCCAGUAUCUUCCAUAAAAACAUUGUUCCCCUCAGGAAAGGACGCUUGUGGCGGCUUCUGUUUACUGUGGAGAAUCUAAUCUCACCUCCCAAAUAAUCCAAAGAUGAGAAAAACAGAAGUUACCUCAGCCACUGUCCAGGUCAGAAUCUUCUAGUUAGCCACUGAGCUGCUAGAAGAACUGGUCAUCAUUUGUUAAACAGCUGAAGGAGCUUUAAUGUAAACUGAUUGUCGUGUCACCAAGGGCUGAAUGAAAGUGCAAAUAUGUGUGAGGGACCUUUAGAAAAACAUAGAGAGCUGCAACAGAGCUCUGUACUGUUUUAUGGAAGCAUUUAGCUGCUAAAGCUGGAAUAUAAAUAAAGCUGCAGUAUCUCCUUAAAACAAGAAACUUUCUGGUUAUAAUGAGAAAUAAGUGUUAUUCCUCAAAGUGUUGUUUCAUUGUUACAACCUUGCAUCUAAAUGGCAAUAAACUUUCUUGUUAUGACAAGAUGCUACUGCUUUAUUUCCUAGCUGUAGCAGUUAAUUACUUCUGAACUGUUUGAGAUUACUAGUCCUAUUUCUAAUGCUGUUUAGUUUAGUUUUUCUUUUCUAAACCGUUUAUACUGUUUCCUGAUGGAUUUUAAACACACCAAGCUAGACACAUAGAGUAGCUGCUUGGUUAAGCUAACUUGGUUAAGCAGCUAACUAGCUGCUAACAUGUUAAUGGCUAGACUAACUAGCAGCCAGUUAGCUAGUAACAUCUUAGCUGCAACAAAGAGAUAAUGCUAAAGGCCAUUUUUAGUGGAUUGUUUUCUUGUUUUUUAGUUGAAAAAUUAAGUACUGAUACCUAAAAAAUGAUGUUUUUUUAUCUCACAGUUGGAUAUCUGUUUAUUAUGCCUUUGAUAUAAGAUAUAAGCUUUAGCUUAGUCCAUUUUGGUUCUGCUGAUUCAUAUAAAACAUCGACGCACGCUGAGAUUCUGCUUCUUUGUUGAAUCUCAUCACUUUUCUUUCCGUUGAGCAGUUGCUGUUAUCUGUGUUUGACGCCUUUUAAUUUGAUAGCCCAGGACGAGUUGUUAAAGAACGUCUUCAUUGUGAAAUACAAAAACAAGCUGCAUCUCUAUGUGCUGUAAAUAAUCCACUCCUUUACAUUGGAGUUCUAUGACUUGUUCUGUCAGCUUCUACCAUCAGUUUGAAAUGUGUUUUGUUAUUUUAAACUUAUGUCUGUUUUACCUACAUUGACAUUGUGCAGGUCUGUUACUGGAAUACUAAAUGCAUGAUUUGUCAUAUGAUUUCUGGUGUGUACAUGUUUUUAAUAAAGUGUUAUUGUACAC
Molecule: long non-coding RNA, 1858 nt
Organism: Poecilia latipinna (sailfin molly)
Lineage: Eukaryota; Metazoa; Chordata; Actinopteri; Cyprinodontiformes; Poeciliidae
Exons: 3
Source: RefSeq, a predicted model, not a curated record